This 2576-nucleotide long non-coding RNA is filed under the name Sus scrofa (pig). RNAcentral describes it as "lncRNA (ENSSSCG00070019957.1)". Lineage: Eukaryota; Metazoa; Chordata; Mammalia; Artiodactyla; Suidae. The record is from RNAcentral.
AAAUAUUUUGCAAAUCAUGAAGUAUUGUGUGAUCCAUUUGCAGAAAAUAAUACUAAUAACUCAUGCAAUUAUAUACAUGAAAAUAAUAAACCUGGAGACCUUAAAUUGGUGAGAUACCGUCACUACCUUUUCAUUCCCUCUAAUGUUUGGGUAUUUGACCAAGAACCCCUGCCAGUUACUUUGAUAAGCAAGGGAAACAAUAACGAUGACCAUGUGGGGUGGGGGAGGGGGAGGGAUGUGGGGGAGGGGUACCCCUCCUCCCCAUUUGCCCUGCACCGAAAGCUGGGGAUUUCUGAUUUGCAGCUCUUUCUCUACUAGGGGAUUUCUGGAGGAUGCAAGGAGUUUGCCUUCAUGGGUCUCCAGGUUUUGAGGCACAAGAGCCACUUUCUCUUGCCUCCUCACCGCACCCCUCUCCAGCCCUUCAGUUCUGGACUGGGCAGGCAAGGUGGGGGCAGGCGGGCCAGACAGUGCCCGGAGCGGAGCUGCCCAUGCAUUAUGGAAGACGCGGGCGCCCGGGCUGCUCCCUGGUCCUUAAAUGACAGCAAAUGAGGUAAAGCCGGGAGGGUGGGGACGGGAAGCGGGGCGGGUGGGGGGGCAGAAGGAAACCGUCUCCAGGGCCCCUGAGCCUUGGCGGAGGACCGGAGCCAGCCAGUGAGCGGAGCCUGGAAGAGGGAGGAGCACAUCUUGAUGCAGAGAUGCUGCAGUGGCUCCGCCGCGCACGAGCACGAGCGCCCGCGCGCGCGCGUGCACACACACACACACACACACGCAUACGCGCACACACACACACACAUACACACACGCCCUCAGCCGCCACCGGGCCGCUGCACCAGGACAGCAGCGAGCGGCUGAGGCCAGCAAGAAGAGAGGAGAGCGGCCCAGGGGGCUGGCGGCCGGGCUGGCUCCGGCUCCGCCCUCGAGCAGCAUCCACUUGCCCCAGCCAACACCCUUCCUUCACCCCAGGGUGACCUCUUUGCAAAGUCUUGCUUCUGUUGGACAGUCGGCGCUGUGGGAGAAGAGGGGAGACUGGAGCACCAGUUUGGGCAAAGGCGUGCCCAAGAACAGAGAUUUAGGGCAGAGAAACCGAGGCAAGUCCCAUCCCUUCCCCCCUCCCCAACCUUAUCUUCUCCUCACAUCCCUCCCCUCAUCCUCACUGGUGGGAGGGGAGGAUUUGCAGAAGUUUGGCUUUCCAGUGGGCAAAGGGGCUGGAACACAAGGAGGAGGGGUGCGGUUUAGGGGGUCUAGAAAGAGAGGGCCAUCCUUCUGUCCAGCACCACCGGGCUUACAUAACAGCCAGAGGUGGGGGAAGCAGCCCCAGGCAGUGUCCAGAGCUGAAUCCCAUCAUCUUCUUCUCCGGGAGGGGUUCCAGGGUCUGGGAAGCAAGGGAGGGGAUGAGCUUCCACAGUGCAGGUGGAAGGAGAGUCCUGGCCCUACACGGGGACAAAGCCAGCGACCCUUUGCCACAGCCCACCGGGGGCCGAGCCUGGCUCUAGCUGUCAAAGUUGUUUGGAGGUUGAGGAAUCUAGACAGAUCAGGACAGGCUGGGCUGCAGAAGGGUGGGUUUUCCUGCCCUUAACUUUCCCGCCCUCCAAGUCCAGCCUGCAACUGGCCAGACUCUUACCACCCUUUCCUUUCAGCCUCACUCCCCAAGGCCCCAAACUCCCUUCCCAGCCCAGCUGGUAUCCUUUUUCUUCUGCUCGGGGGAGGCAAGAGGAGGAAGUGCCCCAAUAACCCAGGAGGUGGGUGGUGAUCUGAUCUCAUCUUGGCCAGCGAUCUCAGGCUCCUCUCCCAACCUUCUGGCCAGAGAGCCCCUCAGUCAGUGUAAGCCUCUGAGUCUCUGCCUCCCAGUUGCACUCAGAGGGACCAGAUGAGCCACCAGCCUCCAGAGAGCAAGGGCAGUGAAGGGUGGGCCACCUGUGGGAGAGGCUUGGGGCAGGGGGGAGCCUGAGAGAUGGUGCCCUGACCCUGGCCUCGGGAGGAGGGAGUUCUGCCUUUAGAGACAGCAGCAUCCAAGCCCUUCCCCAGGGGGCUCCCCCAGUUAACCCUUUCCAGCCAGGUUGCAGGACCACUCAAGCAAAGCUUUUGCUACAAGGUCAAAGUGCUUUCUAGUUUCCCAUGAAACCUCUCAGGAGUCCCCAGCCAGCAAGAGGGAAGUGGGAGGUGAGAUAGAUGGGGCGGUGGCCUCCAACCUCAGCCCAUGGCAUCCAAGUCACCCAAGGUCCAGCUGUCCCUCUAGGGCUCACCACGAGCGGUGAAGAGAGCAGAGGCACACCGCCCUGGAAGCGGGGUGCCCUGCCGUGUCUCGUAUUCCCUGCCGUCUUCUACACCCCCACCCGGCCGGGCUCUCCUCUCAGUCUCCCUUCCUGAUCAAAUGCUCUCCACCACCUACCCCACACCAUUCCCCCUGCCAGGUUCGCUCCUUAUGCAACCCCAUCCCAGCACCUUCUGUGCCAGCAGUUGUUCAGACAGAGACACAUGUGGGAUGGACCUCUGAGGAUGUGUGCUCAACGGCAUGGUUGCAUAGGUUGUCUCUGGCUGACCGGACUUACUCCUCAGGAGCCAAUACAAGGAAGGAG